Paramisgurnus dabryanus is the source of this 618-nucleotide non-coding RNA. The record is from RefSeq and is a predicted model, not a curated record. NCBI's taxonomy places the organism in Eukaryota, Metazoa, Chordata, Actinopteri, Cypriniformes, Cobitidae.
UAUUAAAACUUGAACUAAUGCAUUGUGAGUCUUAUAAAUUGCUUACAUACCUCACCGAUUUCCCACUGUCUGGAAAACGCUCGGUUUAGUUCCUGUCUCCGCCUCCCAAAAUGUCUAGUGUAAUCGGAUUGGUCAGAUGACUACUCAACUGUUAUUGGUCAGCUGGGUUCGGCUUGUGUUUGAAAGGUUACGCCCCUGACUACGCAUGGGUUGACACAGAUUCUGACUGAGAGUCACAGCCUCAGAGGCAUCGUAAACAAGCGUUAUAUUUCUCUAUAAACGAUGGUGUCUGUACUGCCUUACCACUUCGAGCUCGAUCCAGAGAGUUCAGAAGGCCGUUACGAUAUAAACGAUCUCCGUCAAUGAAUGCGAUUGGAUUUAACUUUUUUAGGUGUCCUUAGCUCUGCCAGAAUGCUAAACGAAGACGAAAAUGUGUUGCAAAGACAUCCAAAAGGUUUUAAGGAGAAUGCAACAUGUUCCAGGGCCUCUUACCUGCGUGAUUCAUCAUCCAGAUACGCUUGGAGCUUCCUGAUCGGAAUGUUGGCUUCCGACGACCCCUGCACUGAAGAUGGCAUGCAAUCACGUCCUCCUUUGAAGGUCUCUCAAACUGUGAUGCCA